AUAGAGACUCAGAGCUGCAUAUCAAUAAGCGGAGGAAAAGAAACUAACUAGGAUUCCCUUAGUAAUGACGAGUGAAGCGGGAAGAUCUUACUCGCUUGCGCUAUUUUACCUACGCUUAGGAUGUUAUCUCUGUAGAGUCUGCAUAUCAAUAAGCGGAGGAAAAGAAACUAACUAGGAUUCCCUCAGUAACGGCGAGUGAAGCGGGAAGAGCUCAAGUUUGAAAUCUUCAAGGUUCUACCUUGACGAAUUGUAGUUUAAAGAAGUGUUUUCUGUUAGAUGAGUAGCAAAAGUUCCUUGGAAUGGGACAUCAUAGAGGGUGAGAAUCCCGUAUUUGACCAUUAUUUCCAGCUUUGUGAUACACUUUCAAAGAGUCGGAUUGUUUGGGAAUGCAGUCCAAAAUGGGUGGUAAAUUUCAUCUAAAGCUAAAUAUUGGCGAGAGACCGAUAGCGAACAAGUACCGUGAGGGAAAGAUGAAAAGAACUUUGAAAAGAGAGUUAAACAGUACGUGAAAUUGUCAAAAGGGAAGCGUUUGACACCAGUGUUGUUUUUCCGAAAAUCAAUUACGAAUGGCUUGAUUUUGUGUUGUAUUGACCUUAUCAGCUUUCUGCACUUUUUUUGAGUCUUUCUUAAUGCACUUUUUGGUUAACAAGUCAACAUCAAUUUCUUUUGUUGUAAAAGAGUAUUCGGAAGGUGGCUUUCUUUUCGGAGAAAGUGUUUAUAGCCCUAUACUUCUACAACCGGAGAGAUCGAGGUCUGCAGCGUAGAUCCUUCGGGGUUAGAUACAUUUGUGCUAAGUUAUAACUUUUCAUAGACAACUUGUUGACUAUGUUUAGUCAUGUAGCUUACUCGCUUAUGCUAUUUUACCUACGCUUAGGAUGUUGAUAGUCACAGCGUGUA
RNAcentral lists this ribosomal RNA (897 nucleotides) under uncultured Neocallimastigales. RNAcentral describes it as "partial large subunit ribosomal RNA". The stretch from base 106 to 897 matches the Rfam family "Eukaryotic large subunit ribosomal RNA", at positions 1 to 628 of the family's 3401-position model. Lineage: Eukaryota; Fungi; Neocallimastigomycota; Neocallimastigomycetes; Neocallimastigales. The record is from RNAcentral.